Molecule: ribosomal RNA, 570 nt
Filed under: uncultured ciliate
Lineage: Eukaryota; Ciliophora
Description: SSU rRNA
Rfam family: Eukaryotic small subunit ribosomal RNA
Source: RNAcentral
CGGCUUCGGGAUUGCAAUGAGCCGAAUUUACACCCCUUAGCGAGAAUCGAUUGGAGGGCAAGUCUGGUGCCAGCAGCCGCGGUAAUUCCAGCUCCAAUAGCGUAUAUUAAAGUUGUUGCAGUUAAAAAGCUCGUAGUUGGAUUUCUGGGAGGGUGCCGAUGUCCACUUAACGUGUGCGCAGCGGCGCCCUCUCAUCCUUCUGUUAGCGUCUCUUGGCAUUCAUUUGCUGGUGGCGGGCUCAGAUAUUUUACCUUGAGAAAAUUAGAGUGUUUCAGGCAGGCUUAGCCGGAAUACAUUAGCAUGGAAUAAUGGAAUAGGACUGAGGUCUCGUUGUUGGUUACGCGGACUCCAGUAAUGAUUAAUAGGGACAGUUGGGGGCAUUAGUAUUUAUUAGCUAGAGGUGGAAUUCUCUAAUUUGAUAAAGACUAACUUAUGCGAAAGCAUUUGCCAAGGAUGUUUUCAUUAAUCAAGAACGAAAGUUAGGGGAUCAAAGACGAUCAGAUACCGUCCUAGCCUUAACCAUAAACUAUGCCGACUCGGGAUCGGGAGCGUGUGUUAUCCGCUUUCGGC